UGUACAUAUCAUAGUUGUUCUUUGGAGAAAAGUCUUGCUACGUAUUUAAGACUGUCUUUGUAUUUCCUGAAUUCAGGACACUUCCCUCUUGAAUUCUAGAGUUCAUUGUUCUUACUCAUACAUAUAUUAUCCAUUUACUCCUCUUUAUUAAUUGAGUGGUUUGGUUAAGUAUUAUAACCAGUAUUGUUUUACAUACUGAAUGUGUUUUCCCCAGCAAAUAGGAUAUUUUAUAAAUUUCUGUCCAUUUUCAGAUAAAAUUGAUGUGUUUGCAGAACCUGAGAAGUCCCAAAAUGUUCAUGAUUAAAUUUUCCAAAUACUUUUCUGCUUCACAGUCUGCUGCCGUCAUUAAGCUCCUGUGCUUUUCUGAAAUGACAGGUUUGGAGACAAAUGCUGGAAACUAUGGAAAUACAUAUAUGAAAUAGGUUUCUUCACUGAAAAAAUGAGCCAACUGAAUCCAAAUCAGGAGUAUAAAAGUAAGCUUAUUUAGAGUCAGAUCAAGGAUAAGUUCACAUAUCUCACAGGGGGAG
RNAcentral lists this long non-coding RNA (527 nucleotides) under Rattus norvegicus (Norway rat). RNAcentral describes it as "long non-coding RNA NONRATT032602". Lineage: Eukaryota; Metazoa; Chordata; Mammalia; Rodentia; Muridae. The record is from RNAcentral.